This 1445-nucleotide ribosomal RNA is filed under the name bacterium ASP42. RNAcentral's name for it is "bacterial SSU rRNA". It matches the Rfam family "Bacterial small subunit ribosomal RNA". The record is from RNAcentral.
ACCCCCGACCGCCACUCUUACUAUGCCAUGUCUCACGCUGAAGCUCCUGCUUGGUGAGUUGGAUGAGUGGCGAACGGGUGAGUAACACGUGAAUAACCUUCCCUUGACUCUGGGAUAAGCCCGGGAAACUGGGUCUAAUACCGGAUACGACCUCCUAUCGCAUGGUGGGGGGUGGAAAGAUUUAUCGGUUUUGGAUGGACUCGCGGCCUAUCAGCUUGUUGGUGAGGUAAUGGCUCACCAAGGCGACGACGGGUAGCCGGCCUGAGAGGGUGACCGGCUCUACUGGGACUGAGACACGGCCCAGACACAUACGGGAGGCAGCAGUGGGGAAUAUUGCACAAUGGGCGCAAGCCUGAUGCAGCGACGCCGCGUGAGGGAUGACGGCCUUCGGGUUGUAAACCUCUUUCAGUAGGGAAGAAGCUUUCGGGUGACGGUACCUGCAGAAGAAGCGCCGGCUAACUACGUGCCAGCAGCCGCGGUAAUACGUAGGGCGCGAGCGUUAUCCGGAAUUAUUGGGCGUAAAGAGCUCGUAGGCGGUUUGUCGCGUCUGCCGUGAAAGUCCGGGGCUUAACCCCGGAUCUGCGGUGGGUACGGGCAGACUAUAGUGCAGUAGGGGAGACCGGAAUUCCUGGUGUAGCGGUGAAAUGCGCAGAUAUCAGGAGGAACACCGAUGGCGAAGGCAGGUCUCUGGGCUGUUACUGACGCUGAGGAGCGAAAGCAUGGGGAGCGAACAGGAUUAGAUACCCUGGUAGUCCAUGCCGUAAACGUUGGGCACUAUGUGUGGGGGACAUUCCACGUUUUCCGCGCCGCAGCUAACGCAUUAAGUGCCCCGCCUGGGGAGUACGGCCGCAAGGCUAAAACUCAAAGGAAUUGACGGGGGGCCCGCACAAGCGGCGGAGCAUGCGGAUUAAUUCGAUGCAUCGCGAAGAACCUUACCAAGGCUUGACAUGUUCCCGACCGGUCCAGAGAUGGUCUUUCCCCUUUGGGCGGGUUCACAGGUGGUGCAUGGUUGUCGUCAGCUCGUGUCGUGAGAUGUUGGGUUAAGUCCCGCAACGAGCCCAACCUUCGUUACAUGUUGCCAGCGGGUUAUGCCGGGGACCCAUGGGAGAUUUUCGGCGUCAACUCGGAGGAAGGUGGUGAGGACGUUAAAUCAUUAUCCCCGUUAUCUGUUGGCCUUCACGCACGCUACAAUGGCCUGUACAAUGGGUUGCGAUACUGUGAGGUGGAGCUAAUCCCAAAAAGCCGGUAUCAGUUCGGAUUGGGGUUUGCAACUCGACCCCAUGAAGUCGGAGUUGGUAGUAAUCGCAGAUCACCAACGCUGCGGUGAAUACGUUCCCGGGCCUUGUACACACCGCCCGUCAAGUCACGAAAGUCGGUAACACCACGAAGCGCGGAGACCCAACCCAGCGUGCGACCGUCGCGAUGGAGACCCGUUCCGUGUGUGC